CCUACGGGAGGCAGCAGUGGGGGAUAUUGCACAAUGGGGGGAACCCUGAUGCAGCGACGCCGCGUGGGUGAAGGAGUGCUUCGGCAUGUAAAGCCCUAUCGGCAGGGAAGAAGCAAGACGGUGCCUGACUAAGAAGCCCCGGCUAACUACGUGCCAGCAGCCGCGGUAAUACGUAGGGGGCGAGCGUUAUCCGGAUUCACUGGGUGUAAAGGGAGCGUAGACGGAAAGGCAAGUCAGAAGUGAAAACCCAAGGCUCAACCAUGGGACUGCUUUUGAAACUGUCAAACUAG
Molecule: ribosomal RNA, 290 nt
Filed under: uncultured bacterium
Lineage: Bacteria
Description: partial 16S ribosomal RNA
Rfam family: Bacterial small subunit ribosomal RNA
Source: RNAcentral